UAGUCCACGCUGUAAACGAUGGAUGCUAGUUGUGGGGGGAAUCGACCCCUUCUGUAACGAAGCUAACGCGAUAAGCAUCCCGCCUGGGGUGUACGGUCGCAAGAUUAAAACUCAAAGGAAUUGACGGGGACCCGCACAAGCGGUGGAGUGUGUUGUUUAAUUGGAUGAUAAGCCUAGAACCUUACCCAGACUUGACAUCCCGGAUAGUUUUUCGAAAGUAAAAUGUGCCUUUUAGGAAUCCGGUGACAGGUGCUGCAUGGCCGUCGUCAGCUCGUGUCGUGAGAUGUUAGGUUAAGUCCUUCAACGAGCGCAACCCUUAUGAUUAGUUGAAUUUUUCUAGUCAGACUGCCUCGGUAACGGGGAGGAAGGAGGGGAUGAUGUCAAGGUCCGUAUUGCCCUUACGUCUGGGGCUACAAACGCGCUACAAUGGCUGGUACAAUGGGCAGCGAAAUCGCGAGAUGGAGCAAAUCUCAUCAAAGCCAGUCCCAGUUCGGAUUGAAGGCUGAAACUCGCCUUCA
RNAcentral lists this ribosomal RNA (518 nucleotides) under uncultured bacterium. RNAcentral's name for it is "bacterial SSU rRNA". It matches the Rfam family "Bacterial small subunit ribosomal RNA", at positions 791 to 1320 of the family's 1533-position model. The record is from RNAcentral.